CCUACGGGCGGCAGCAGUGGGGAAUAUUGCACAAUGGGCGAAAGCCUGAUGCAGCAACGCCGCGUGAGCGAUGAAGGCCUUCGGGUCGUAAAGCUCUGUCCUCAAGGAAGAUAAUGACGGUACUUGAGGAGGAAGCCCCGGUCACUACGUGCCAGCAGCCGCGGUAAUACGUAGGGGGCUAGCGUUAUCCGGAAUUACUGGGCGAAAAGGGUGCGUAGGUGGUUUCUUAAGUCAGAGGUGAAAGGCUACGGCUAAACCGUAGUAAGCCUUUGAAACUGGGAAACUUGAGUGCAGGAGAGGAGAGUGGAAUUCCUAGUGUAGCGGUGAAAUGCGUAGAGAUUAGGAGGAACACCAGUUGCGAAGGCGGCUCUCUGGACUGUAACUGACACUGAGGCACGAAAGCGUGGGGAGCAAACAGGAUUAGAUACCCGAGUAGUC
Molecule: ribosomal RNA, 438 nt
Filed under: uncultured bacterium
Lineage: Bacteria
Description: partial 16S ribosomal RNA
Rfam family: Bacterial small subunit ribosomal RNA
Source: RNAcentral